Molecule: long non-coding RNA, 207 nt
Filed under: Elaeis guineensis (African oil palm)
Lineage: Eukaryota; Viridiplantae; Streptophyta; Magnoliopsida; Arecales; Arecaceae
Description: long non-coding RNA (EGUI_LNC052387)
Source: RNAcentral
CAUCCAUCCGAACUUGAGCUUGCUGUCAGACUUUUGGAAGUAGAUCUAAAUCGGCUCUCCGACAUUUAAAAUUGCUCAGCUCACUGUAUUGCUCGACCCUCGUUGAUGGCAAUUCGAUCUCGAGCGGGAUCAUUGCUUCCAUUCUAUAAGUCAAAUUAAAUGGUGAUUCUCCCAUCGGUAUGUGAGGAGUUGUUUAGUAUGCCCAUA